Molecule: ribosomal RNA, 662 nt
Filed under: uncultured archaeon
Lineage: Archaea
Description: bacterial SSU rRNA
Rfam family: Archaeal small subunit ribosomal RNA
Source: RNAcentral
CGUACAGCUCAGUAACACGUGGCUAACCUGCCCUUGGGAUGGGAACACCCCCGGGAAACUGGGGCUAAUUCCCGAUAGGUGAAGAACUCUGGAAUGAGUCUCCGCCCAAACAGCGUGUAGAUCAUGCUUCUAUGCGUUGCCCAAGGAUGGGGCCGCGACCGAUCAGGUUGUUGGUGAGGUAAUGGCCCACCAAGCCUAUAACCGGUGCGGGCCGUGAGAGCGGGAGCCCGGAGAUGGGCACUGAGACAAGGGCCCAGGUCCUACGGGGCGCAGCAGUCGCGAAAACUUUGCAAUACACGAAAGUGUGACAGGGUCAUCCCGAGUGCCGACCGCUGAGGUUGGCUUUUACCCAGUCUAGAACGCUGGGGGAAUAAGGAGAGGGCAAGUCUGGUGUCAGCCGCCGCGGUAAUACCAGCUCUCCGAGUGGUGUGGACGUUUAUUGGGCCUAAAGCAUCCGUAGCUGGCUGAACAAGUCCCUUGUUAAACCCACCGAUUUAAUCGUUGGUCUGCGGGGGAUACUGCUCGGCUAGGGGACGAGAGAGGCAGACGGUAUUCCCGGGGUAGGGGUGAAAUCCUAUAAUUCCCAAGAAGACCACCAGUGGCGAAUGCUGUCUGCUAGAACGCGCCCCGACGGUGAGGAAUGAAAGCUGGGGGAGCGAACC